AAUAAAGGGUUGUGUUAGACUGCUAUACCUUGAAAUAAUUUCUUAUAAGUCAUUAAUAACUGAAGUAAGCAUUAAUUGAACCUUUAAACAGUUAAACUUACAAUAAUUAUUUUGAAGAUCAUCUUGCCUUAAAAACUUCAAGAUCUUUGAGGGGAUAAUUCGCCAUCUUAGUAUUUAGAAGAAUUGGGUUUGUGUCUAUAUGAGGGAGAUCAGAUUAUAAUAGAAGGAUUUGGUAAAAUGAAGAGAAAGUUUUGAAUGGGCUAAACAGGAAUUCAAGGACUUCUUAUAAUACAUUCCAGAGCUCAGCAACUCUUUUUUUAUAUUGCCUGCUGUUUGGGAUUAUAUUCAUCAUUGCUGCCUUCAGUUACAGGGCAAAAUGCUGAAUGGCAGAAGGCUGAAGAAAUGCUAAAAGCUCCGUCCUAUUGAGAAGUUCAUCACAGGGAAGACUCCACUGAAGUAAUCAGAUGCCUUUCCUGCUGCCCUGAGUCUUUAACUGUCCAAAGGGAGUCCUGAACCCAAAGCUGUUUCAGCUGCAUGCAAUUGUUAGGAUCAUUCACUCAUACCUCUUCGUUUAGGAUAGAGAACAAUCAGGCAAAGAAGGGGGAGGACUAACCCAAGGUCAGAUAAUUAGCUAAGGGCAUCAGAACCCACAGUUCAGGGUUGUUAGUACCACAUCAAGCUCCCUUGCAAAUUAGCUUCAUAAAUUCUAAGCCCACAGGCUCAGGGCUCAUCUGAAAGAGAUGGACCAGAGAGGUGGAGAUGGAGAAAAAAGUCUCCUACCACACACUGGAACCACUUUUACAGAAGUGCCUGUUGUCUCCCCUGCACCCCUGCACCCCUGCACUCCCAACCCCAACAAUGCCAGGCAGCAAGCUGUUGCAGAAAGGAAGCAGACUGCUGCCCCUGCAGUGUUCAGGCCUCCUCCUGGCAGGGCUCCCUCUACCUGAAUCCAUCUCAGGGAAAUGGUCAUCGCUGACUAUGCUGCACAGAACCUGCAAAGUUAUGUUAAUAAUCUCUCUGGGCCUUAAACUGAAUAACCAAGAUUUUGCACAUGUACCAUUCACUUCCCACUUAAUAUGCACACUCAAUUUACACAGGAAGUAUGCCUAAGGCUCUUUCAAUGACUGUAUGUGACUACACGUAGGGUUUUUCUUUUAUAACAGAUUGGCAAAUGCCUGAGGUGGUAUGAGUGUGGUGUUGCUGGAAAACCUUAGUUGAAAUUCCUAGACUAUAUGAAAUCCUUUUUAAAUCUCCUUAUUCUGAAAACAUAUUUUUUUAAAAAAAUUAGACCACUUAUGGGAUUUAAAGUAAAAAGUACAAAUAUACUGUAUUUCGUGACUGUAAUCAAACUGGAGACAUUAUGCAAACAUAGAGCUCUUAUAUUUUCAUUCUUCUACUUUAGGUUGCAAUUGUCUAUCUCUGCAUUAUGUGCAAACCAAAAUGAGAACUGUGGGAAUAAACCACAUGGUUGUGUUCA
Long non-coding RNA from Gorilla gorilla gorilla (western lowland gorilla), 1477 nucleotides. RefSeq lists it as uncharacterized. The transcript is spliced from 3 exons. The record is from RefSeq and is a predicted model, not a curated record. Lineage: Eukaryota; Metazoa; Chordata; Mammalia; Primates; Hominidae.